GGGCUUGACAUCCCACGAACCUGGAAACAUGGUCUUCCACUUCGGUGGACCGGGUGACAGGUGCUGCAUGGCUGUCGUCAGCUCGUGUCGUGAGAUAUUGGGUUAGGUCCCGCAACGAGCGCAACCCCUGCCUUUAGUUGCCAUCAUUAAGUUGGGCACUCUAGAGGGACUGCCGGUGUUAAACCGGAGGAAGGUGGGGACGACGUCAAGUCCUCGUGGCCUUUAUGCCCAGGGCUACACACGUGCUACAAUGGGCGGCACAAAGGGCAGCGACGCCGCGAGGUGUAGCAAAUCCUAAAAAACCGUUCUCAGUUCGGAUCGGAGUCUGCAACUCGACUCCGUGAAGUUGGAAUCGCUAGUAAUCGUGGAUCAGCAUGCCACGGUGAAUACGUUCCCGGGCCUUGUACACACCGCCCGUCACACCACGAAAGUCUGCUGUACUCGAAGUCGCUGAG
Molecule: ribosomal RNA, 455 nt
Filed under: uncultured bacterium
Lineage: Bacteria
Description: bacterial SSU rRNA
Rfam family: Bacterial small subunit ribosomal RNA
Source: RNAcentral